This 498-nucleotide ribosomal RNA is filed under the name uncultured bacterium. Its description in RNAcentral is "partial 16S ribosomal RNA". It matches the Rfam family "Bacterial small subunit ribosomal RNA", at positions 30 to 523 of the family's 1533-position model. The record is from RNAcentral.
AUUGAACGCUGGCGGCAUGCCUUACACAUGCAAGUCGGACGGUAACAGGUCUUCGGAUGCUGACGAGUGGCGAACGGGCGAGUAAUACAUCGGAACGUGCCUAGUAGUGGGGGAUAACUACUCGAAAGAGUGGCUAAUACCGCAUGAGAUCUACGGAUGAAAGCAGGGGAUCGCAAGACCUUGUGCUACUAGAGCGGCCGAUGGCAGAUUAGGUAGUUGGUGGGAUAAAAGCUUACCAAGCCGACGAUCUGUAGCUGGUCUGAGAGGACGAUCAGCCACACUGGGACUGAGACACGGCCCAGACUCCUACGGGAGGCAGCAGUGGGGAAUUUUGGACAAUGGGCGAAAGCCUGAUCCAGCAAUGCCGCGUGCAGGAUGAAGGCCUUCGGGUUGUAAACUGCUUUUGUACGGAACGAAAAGCCCCGGGUUAAUACCCUGGGGUCAUGACGGUACCGUAAGAAUAAGCACCGGCUAACUACGUGCCAGCCGCCGCAGUAA